Molecule: ribosomal RNA, 253 nt
Filed under: uncultured bacterium
Lineage: Bacteria
Description: partial 16S ribosomal RNA
Rfam family: Bacterial small subunit ribosomal RNA
Source: RNAcentral
UACGUAGGGUGCAAGCGUUAAUCGGAAUUACUGGGCGUAAAGCGUGCGCAGGCGGUUUGGUAAGACAGAUGUGAAAUCCCCGGGCUUAACCUGGGAAUUGCAUUUGUGACUGCCCGGCUAGAAUCUGGCAGAGGGGGGUAGAAUUCCACGUGUAGCAGUGAAAUGCGUAGAGAUGUGGAGGAAUACCGAUGGCGAAGGCAGCCCCCUGGGCUAAGAUUGACGCUCAUGCACGAAAGCGUGGGGAGCAAACAGG